UACUUCUACAGCUGCCACAUGUACAACCUUUACUAAUUCACUUCAUUUCUCUAAUUCACCCAGAUAUAACAAAACCCACCUCAUUCAAAUCUACCUUGUCCUCAAGGUCGGACUAAGUCACUGAGAGGCUGCGAAUGUCGGAAAUCGACUUCGGGCAUAACUCCAAUCUUCCCAAGUCGCAGCAUCGGGGCCAAGAUUAGCCCAUUCCACUAAAACUUUAACUGCAGCAACAUUAUUAAGCUUAACCAUCUUGCGUUGCAAAAUCACAACUGGUUAAAUCAAGAGUCGGCCAUCAGAAUCACACGCCGGUGGUUGAAGCUGUGGAGUGACAGAAGUACCAAUCUUCUUCUUGAGCUGCAAAAUGUGAAAUACUCAGUGGAGUUGGGCUCCAGCUAGAAGCUAUAAAUGGUAAACCACCGCACCCACUCGCUCCAGAAUUUUGUAAGGCCCAUAAAAGCGAGUACUCAGCUUCAAGUUCCUACUAAUUGCCACAGUUAACUGCCUAUAUGGUUGUAACUUCAGGCACAGGUACCUCAACUCAUACAUCGCACAAGUAGGAGCCAGGUCAUACAGCUAUUGUUGACAACAAAGACUUCAAAAUAAGCCAAUUUUGCUAAAUCGGAUUGCUCUUCCGCAAAUUUAGCAAGGUAGUAAGACGACGAAGAAGAAGUUGAUGUUGAUGCUGGGUAUUUUGCUGCGGCGGCGGAUUUGGCUUGUGAAAGGAGGUGAGCACCUUAUAUGAAGUGCUUCUUGAAUUGGAUGUUGAAGCGAUUGCUGAAGUAGAGAUUGGAGAGGUAUUUUCGAGGGAUAUUGUACAUGAAAAGGAACAUGAAUAUUGAAUACCAUUUAAUUUGUGAAUGUAUGCAGAUUGUAUAAUGUCACAUUAUACAUUCUGAUCUUAUAUACAUUAUGAUAUUGGACAUACCUUUUACUUUGUAAAUGUCUGCAUAUUGAAUACCAUUUACUUUGUGAAUGUAUGAUGAUUGUAUAAUGUCACGUUAUACAUUCUGAUUAUUUAUACAUUA
Long non-coding RNA from Capsicum annuum, 1025 nucleotides. RefSeq lists it as uncharacterized. The transcript has 3 exons. The record is from RefSeq and is a predicted model, not a curated record. NCBI's taxonomy places the organism in Eukaryota, Viridiplantae, Streptophyta, Magnoliopsida, Solanales, Solanaceae.